GAAAUGCGAUAAUUAAUGUGAAUUGCAGAAUUCAGUGAAUCAUCGAGUCUUUGAACGCACAUUGCGCCCCCUGGUAUUCCGGGGGGCAUGCCUGUCCGAGCGUCAUUGCUGCCCUCAAGCACGGCUUGUGUUUGGGCUUCCGUCCCUGGCAACGGGGACGGGCCCAAAAGGCAGUGGCGGCACCAUGUCUGGUCCUCGAGCGUAUGGGGCUUUGUCACCCGCUCCCGUAGGUCCAGCUGGCAGCUAGCCUCGCAACCAAUCUUUUUAACCAGGUUGACCUCGGAUCAGGUAGGGAUACCCGCUGAACUUAAGC
RNAcentral lists this unclassified non-coding RNA (313 nucleotides) under plant metagenome. RNAcentral's name for it is "partial contains 5.8S ribosomal RNA, internal transcribed spacer 2, and large subunit ribosomal RNA". The stretch from base 1 to 105 matches the Rfam family "5.8S ribosomal RNA", at positions 50 to 154 of the family's 154-position model. The record is from RNAcentral.